GAUGAACGCUGGCGGCGUGCCUAAUACAUGCAAGUCGAGCGAACAGACGAGGAGCUUGCUCCUUUGACGUUAGCGGCGGACGGGUGAGUAACACGUGGGUAACCUACCUAUAAGACUGGGAUAACUUCGGGAAACCGGAGCUAAUACCGGAUAAUAUUUCGAACCGCAUGGUUCGAUAGUGAAAGAUGGCUUUGCUAUCACUUAUAGAUGGACCUGCGCCGUAUUAGCUAGUUGGUAAGGUAACGGCUUACCAAGGCAACGAUACGUAGCCGACCUGAGAGGGUGAUCGGCCACACUGGAACUGAGACACGGUGCAGACUCCUACGGGAGGCAGCAGUAGGGAAUCUUCCGCAAUGGGCGAAAGCCUGACGGAGCAACGCCGCGUGAGAGAUGAAGGUCUUCGGAUCGUAAAACUCUGUUAUUAGGGAAGAACAAACGUGUAAGUAACUGUGCACGUCUUGACGGUACCUAAUCAGAAAGCCACGGCUAACUACGUG
RNAcentral lists this ribosomal RNA (497 nucleotides) under uncultured bacterium. RNAcentral describes it as "partial 16S ribosomal RNA". It matches the Rfam family "Bacterial small subunit ribosomal RNA", at positions 28 to 507 of the family's 1533-position model. The record is from RNAcentral.